UACGGGGGGGGGCAAGCGUUGUUCGGAAUUACUGGGCGUAAAGGGCUCGUAGGCGGCCAACUAAGUCAGACGUGAAAUCCCUCGGCUUAACCGGGGAACUGCGUCUGAUACUGGAUGGCUUGAGUUUGGGAGAGGGAUGCGGAAUUCCGAGUGUAGAGGUGAAAUUCGUAGAUAUUCGGAAGAACACCAGUAGGCGAAGGCGGCUCACUGGACCGGUAUGACGCUGAGGUGCGAAAGCGUGGGGAGCAAACAGG
RNAcentral lists this ribosomal RNA (254 nucleotides) under uncultured bacterium. RNAcentral describes it as "partial 16S ribosomal RNA". It matches the Rfam family "Bacterial small subunit ribosomal RNA", at positions 524 to 776 of the family's 1533-position model. The record is from RNAcentral.